AGAGUUUUGAUUCCUGGCUCAGGAUGAACGCUAGCGGCAGGCUUAAUACAUGCAAGGCGAGGGGGCAGCAAUGUCACCGUCGUACGGGUGCGUAACGCGUAUGCAACCUACCUUCAACUGGGGGAUAGCCCGGGGAAACCCGGAUUAAUACCGCAUAAUACAGGGGUGCCACCUGGUACUAUUUGUUAAAGAUUUAUUGGUUGAAGAUGGGCAUGCGUUCGAUUAGCUAGUUGGCAGGGUAACGGCCUACCAAGGCGACGAUCGAUAGGGGAGCUGAGAGGUUGAUCCCCCACACGGGCACUGAGAUACGGGCCCGACUCCUACGGGAGGCAGCAGUAGGGAAUAUUGGGCAAUGGAUGCAAGUCUGACCCAGCCAUGCCGCGUGCCGGAUGAAGGCCCUCAGGGUUGUAAACGGCUUUUAUUCGGGAAGAAGAGCAGGGAUGCGUCCUUGUGUGACGGUACCGAAUAAUAGCAUCGGC
RNAcentral lists this ribosomal RNA (479 nucleotides) under Flexibacteraceae bacterium JJ-1521. RNAcentral describes it as "bacterial SSU rRNA". It matches the Rfam family "Bacterial small subunit ribosomal RNA", at positions 8 to 497 of the family's 1533-position model. The record is from RNAcentral. Lineage: Bacteria; Pseudomonadati; Bacteroidota; Cytophagia; Cytophagales; Cytophagaceae.